This 218-nucleotide long non-coding RNA is filed under the name Elaeis guineensis (African oil palm). RNAcentral describes it as "long non-coding RNA (EGUI_LNC040950)". Lineage: Eukaryota; Viridiplantae; Streptophyta; Magnoliopsida; Arecales; Arecaceae. The record is from RNAcentral.
AAGCUCGAUAAGCGACAAAGAGUAAUAGUACACAAGGUGAUGAGAAAAUUCUAUUUUAUUUCAUUAGUAAAGAAUGCAUUACAAAAGCCUUUAAAGGUCAAAAAAAAAUGACAAGAAAAGAAAAGAAUACAUGGAACAAAAAGUAAGAAAGCUCUAAGGAAGCUCGGCUUCUUCUGACUUUGAACUCUCGGUUCCAGCCAUUAUCAAGGAUUGCUUUA